ACAGGGAUGUGGGAUGACGAGGACAGGGGAACAGGGAUGGGGACAGGGGGAUGGGGACGGGGACAGGGAUCUGGGAUGGGGCCGGGCAUGGGAUGGGGACAUGGGGAUGGGGCCGUGGGCUGGGGACAGGGACAUGAGAUGGGGACAGGGACAUGGGAUAGGGACAAGGGAAUGGGGACGUGGGACGGGGACAUGGGUACAGGGACAUGGGAUGGGGACGGGCAUGGCAUGGGGACAGGGACAUGGAGGCGUGGGAUAGGGACAAGGGAAUGGGGAUGUGGGAUGGGGACAGGGAUGUGGGAUGGGGACAUGGGGACAGGGCCAUGGGGACAUGGGAUGGGGACAUGGGAUGGGAAUGGGGACAUGGGAUGAUGGGGACGGGGCCGUGGGACGGGGCCGUGGCGGCUGGGACACGGCGGGGCGGGAGGGCCGGGGCUGUUACGGGGCCCCGGGGCCGGGGUUCGUGGGCCCGGCCGAGCCCGGGUCGGGGGUCUCACCCCCCCCCCUCCCCGUGUCCCCCCCCCAGCCGUGGUGGUGGGCGCCGACCGCGUGGCCGCCAACGGGGACACGGCCAACAAGAUCGGGACGUACGCGCUGGCGCUGGCGGCGCGGCACCACGGGGUCCCGCUCUACGUGGCCGCCCCCAGCGCCUCCUGCGACCCCGCGCUGCCCCGCGGGGACCUCCUGCCCCUCGAGGAGCGC
This 702-nucleotide long non-coding RNA is filed under the name Anser brachyrhynchus (Pink-footed goose). RNAcentral describes it as "lncRNA (ENSABRG00000013232.1)". Lineage: Eukaryota; Metazoa; Chordata; Aves; Anseriformes; Anatidae. The record is from RNAcentral.